GAUGAACGCUGGCGGCGUGCCUAAUACAUGCAAGUCGAGCGAACGGACGAGAAGCUUGCUUCUCUGAUGUUAGCGGCGGACGGGUGAGUAACACGUGGAUAACCUACCUAUAAGACUGGGAUAACUUCGGGAAACCGGAGCUAAUACCGGAUAAUAUUUUGAACCGCAUGGUUCAAAAGUGAAAGACGGUCUUGCUGUCACUUAUAGAUGGAUCCGCGCUGCAUUAGCUAGUUGGUAAGGUAACGGCUUACCAAGGCAACGAUGCAUAGCCGACCUGAGAGGGUGAUCGGCCACACUGGAACUGAGACACGGUCCAGACCCCUACGGGAGGCAGCAGUAGGGAAUCUUCCGCAAAGGGCGAAAGCCUGACGGAGCAACGCCGCGUGAGUGAUGAAGGUCUUCGGAUCGUAAAACUCUGUUAUUAGGGAAGAACAUAUGUGUAAGUAACUGUGCACAUCUUGACGGUACCUAAUCAGAAAGCCACGGCUAACUACGUG
RNAcentral lists this ribosomal RNA (497 nucleotides) under uncultured bacterium. RNAcentral describes it as "partial 16S ribosomal RNA". It matches the Rfam family "Bacterial small subunit ribosomal RNA", at positions 28 to 507 of the family's 1533-position model. The record is from RNAcentral.